Long non-coding RNA from Gallus gallus (chicken), 3471 nucleotides. Lineage: Eukaryota; Metazoa; Chordata; Aves; Galliformes; Phasianidae. The record is from Ensembl.
CCAACAUCUGGGGAGGGACAGUGUGAAAGGUUCUGCUCACAGAGGACAGAAGUUUUCCACUGCCUCCAGGGAUGUUUGUACUCCUCCCACAGUAUGUAGUGGCGGAGGCUGUUCUCAGUGUAGCCUUCUAAACUCUGGGAUUCACCUCAGUCCUUUCUUCACCAGGUAUAGACAGAGUGGGUCCAGCAGUAAAACCCACUUGUUCUCCAGUCCUCUCUCUGGUGGUCGGAGUUCACAUGGCUCUGCAGUGCAUGGCACGUUCAUUGCCUUCCCAUUGGUGGGAGAUGUAAAGUGGGCCAACAUGCAAAAAGGGAUCUCGUUUUUACGGACAGAAGAGGGAAACAGUUUUUUGAGGGGCCAGAUAGUGACCUGUGAAUCACAUGGUUGGAAAGCACCUACAAGAUCAUCUAGUCCAACGGUUCUCCCAUUACCAUUGCUACUAAACCAUAUCUCGCAGCUCCUCAUCCAGAUGCCUCUUGAACACUGCCAGGGACGGCGACUCCACCACCUCCCUGGGCAGGCCAUUCCAGUGCCUGACCACUCUCUGAGAGAAAAAGUUUUUCCUUAUGUCUAAUCUAAACCUCCUCUGGUAGAACUUGUGGCCAUUUCCUUUACAAGUAUCCCUUCCUGCAUAUUCUGGUAACUCUUUGGCAUGGGGGAAAACAACUUCUGCAAGAAGCUGUUCCGUAGAGCCACUAAGAUCCCAGAGACUUGGCAGAAGUUUUUGUAUCUUCUUCGUUGUAGGUUAUUUCUUUACCCUCCCUCCUAGGUGUUUCACUAAUUCUUUGUUUUCCCCACCUCCUUUACCAACAGCUUCUGUAGGCUGUAUUUAUAUAUAUAUAUAUAUAUAUAUUUGUCCUUUCUGUGUAAAGCAGCAUGAUUCACAGAAAAAGGCUUUGUAGCUCCUGCUUGGUGACCUCUCCUGGUUCCUCACCUCCUGUUCUCUACUGAUCAGAGCUGUUGCUGAUUAGAUGCUCAGCAGAGGUGAUUGUGCAGCCUCUGACACCUCGCGUCCCCUGCUGCCUAGAUUUCAAAGAGGUAAUCAUUCCCAGAGACCUGCCACCGACCCUUUGCUCGAGCUUUUGUUGGUCACCUUUUGCUGUCUCUUUUCUUAAAGAGCUUGAAGUAUCUGGAUUUUUCUGCUAGGCAAAAAAGGACAUGCACUGAAAUCUUAAUGAUUUUACCAUUCUUUCAGAAUACUUUCACCUGAAACAAAAUUACGUAUUACCUUUAUAUCAAAUUAGUACGUUUUUGGAGUAAAACCUUCAGCUCCUAUUUAGAUGCCUUUUUUCUUUCUUUUUCCCCACUCAAAAACAUGGAGAUGCUGUGAGAUGGGAAGGUUGUUUGGUUCACUACCUGCCCCUUUUAACUCCAUAUACAUCUGCAGGCAUCAUUGCCAGGCAGCAUUACUCCUUCUGGAAGUUGAGCAGAAUGUCGAAAGGGCUUCAGUGCGGGCAAUGACACUGUUCACAGAUUUAACUGUGAAUACUGGAAACAAACAAGAAGGAGAAGAUCUGAACCCUCAGCCAACCUUAAAGAUCAGGAGAGAUCUUUUUGUUCUGGGGUUUACUGUAUGGUUCUUUCAAUGGAAACUUCUGAUGCUGACCAAUCAUCACUAGCCUAGUGUUUGGAGUAGGUCUAGCUAUUUUAUCUUUUUUUUUGCCAUGAAUUACAGGUAACACCCAGUUCCAUAAAGUCUGAGAAGAUAUUUUUGCACACUUUUCACAUUUUAUUCGAAUUCUUAUGAACAAAUAAAGAAAUCAGCAGAGACAAAAUAAACAUAAUUCAUAUUUAGAUUAUUUAAAUGACCAUGCUUUCUCCACAGAGUUAAAAUAGUACAUCAAAAAUCCUAAAUACUAUAUUAAAUCGACUGCAAACAAACAGAACACUGACUUUUAUAAUACUAAAAGCAAAAAGUCCUGUAACUCCCCAGAAGUGCCUUCAUAUGUCUUUGAUGAAUUCAUCUGAGAAAAGAGCUGAAAAUUGAUUUCCAAAAGCAUAAUAUACUUUUUUAUUUCAUUUUGCUUCAAUAAAUGAUACAUUAGAAAUAUUUCCUUUGGGUUCACGGUAAAUAGAUGAGGUAAUGAUUUAGUGGGUUUUUUUCCUUCUCUUCUUUUUUUCCCGUUUUCCAUUUUUCCUCUUUUCAUUUUCCUUUUUUUUUCUUUUUCCUUUCCCCCCCCUUUUCCUUUCCUAUUCUUUUCUUUUUCUUUUUUCCCUUAUCCCCCGUUUUUUUUUUUUUUCUCCUUUUCUUUGGAGUAAAGCAACUUCUGGAUUAUUUCACAUGCACUGACAACAUAAAUAGAAGCUGUUUUCCAGAUGAAGAAUUCUAUGUGGGAUAUGUUAAACGGUCUGCUAAGGACCAGCCUGAAUGCCUGAGGAUUUCUGAACAUCCAUCAGCACUCCAGGAUUUAUGGACUCCUGACUAUGCUCAGCCAAUGAUUAAGACUUCCAUAGCAUUUCUGUCCAUUGAAGGGACCCAUAGUGACUCCAGUGUUACGUACUCACCCCACAACAUCCCCCAGAGCCUCUCCAUGUCUGUGCUGAUUGCUUCCUCCAUGAUUAUUUGGGCAGUUGAUGUUGCUGAAUGUGAGCACCAACUGCUCUCUGGCCUAGGGACAAUGGUGGGACAGGCAGUGAUCACAGAAUCAUAUAAUCAUGAAGGUUGGAAAAGACCUUUAAGAUCACCUUGUCCAACUGUCCACUCACCACCAUUAAGUAAUGCAUUUCCUCCCUCAAACUUGGCCUUCUCCAUCUUCACGUUGUAAUGUAGCUGUUUAUGUGGUUCUCUCCUUGUCCAGUGUGUCUCUUUCAUUUGAUGGAAGUGGAAAGGUGAAGGUCCUUUUUGGGAAGAUGAAGGCCAUUUUGGGCUGUAUCUGGGAAAGCACCUGAGCUUUAGGUACACACUGCCCCUUCAGUCAGUAUGGCAACAUGGACCUAUGGCUUUGUUUGCCAGCAGCCCUCUACACUGAUGCACAGGUGAAGAACUGGUCCAACCCAUGGUGUUCAUCUCACCCUGACAUGGAUCACGUUGGUGUGAGUCAGCUGGGAAUGUCUCUCCAUGGUGAUGAAGAUCUCACCCCCAUCUUCUGUCAGCAGUACAGAAAGCUGUUGAUGCUGGUGCUUCUGCAGUUUCGGCAUUAGUACCAUAAGCUUGUUAAUUGUACAGGGCUGAUUGUUAUGUGUUCUUGUUGAAAACCUAGCAAGAGCCUUCCAAGUCAAGGCUCAAAAAGGUUUUUUUUUUUCCCCAGUUUCUGGAGGUGAAGACGUGAUUCAGCCUGCAAAUCCCUUUACUAUUAUGCCUGUACACCCCCAGCGCUCUGUGCUGCGUCUGUAUGGCUGCACAACUACCCACUGGAUCAAGCCUCCAUUCACCCUUCUCUGCAUAUUGCAAUACCAAUAGCCAGAACUGAAUGAAUGAGAAUGAAAUCAUUCCCUGUAACUUGGGUGGCGUACCUGCUGGGAGGGUGAUUU